AGAGUUUGAUCCUGGCUCAGGACGAACGCUGGCGGCGUGCCUAAUACAUGCAAGUCGAGCGAGAACCUGGGCUUCGGCCCUGGGGACAGCGGCGAACGGGUGAGUAACACGUGGGUAAUCUGCCCUUGACAUCGGGAUAGCCCGGGGAAACCCGGAUUAAUACCGAAUAGCCUCCGGAGCCUUCGGGCGCCGGAGAAAAGGUAGCUUCGGCCUCUGGUCAAGGAUGAGCCCGCGGCGGAUUAGCUUGUUGGCGGGGUAACGGCCCACCAAGGCGACGAUCCGUAGCUGGUCUGAGAGGACGAUCAGCCACACUGGGACUGAGACACGGCCCAGACUCCUACGGGAGGCAGCAGUGGGGAAUCUUGCGCUAAUGCGGGAAACCGUGACGCAGCGACGCCGCGUGGGGGAAGAAGGCCUUCGGGUUGUAAACCUCUUUCAGGAGGGACGAAGCUACUCGGGUGAAUAGCCCAGAGGGUGGCGGUACCUCCAGAAGAAGCCCCGGCUAACUACGUGCCAGCAGCCGCGGUAAUACGUAGGGGGCUAGCGUUGUCCGGAUUUAUUGGGCGUAAAGAGCGUGUAGGCGGCCUGGUAGGUCCGCUGUGAAAACUCGAGGCUCAACCUCGAGAUGUCGGCGGAAACCACUUGGCUAGAGUCCGGAAGAGGAGAGUGGAAUUCCCGGUGUAGCGGUGAAAUGCGCAGAUAUCGGGAAGAACACCUAUGGCGAAGGCAGCUCUCUGGGACGGUACUGACGCUGAGACGCGAAAGCGUGGGGAGCGAACAGGAUUAGAUACCCUGGUAG
This 799-nucleotide ribosomal RNA is filed under the name uncultured bacterium. RNAcentral's name for it is "bacterial SSU rRNA". It matches the Rfam family "Bacterial small subunit ribosomal RNA", at positions 8 to 793 of the family's 1533-position model. The record is from RNAcentral.